This 507-nucleotide ribosomal RNA is filed under the name uncultured bacterium. RNAcentral's name for it is "bacterial SSU rRNA". It matches the Rfam family "Bacterial small subunit ribosomal RNA", at positions 8 to 507 of the family's 1533-position model. The record is from RNAcentral.
AGAGUUUGAUCAUGGCUCAGAGUGAACGCUGGCGGCAGGCCUAAUACAUGCAAGUCGAACGGCAGCACAGCAGAGCUUGCUCUGUGGGUGGCGAGUGGCGGACGGGUGAGGAAUACGUGGGAAUCUGCCCAGUCGUGGGGAUAACGUAGGGAACUUACGCUAAUACCGCAUGCGCCCUUCGGGGGAAAGCCGGGGACCUUCGGGCCUGGCGCGAUUGGAUGAGCCCACGUCGGAUUAGCUAGUUGGCGGGUAAAGGCCCACCAAGGCGACGAUCCGUAGCUGGUCUGAGAGGAUGAUCAGCCACACUGGAACUGAGACACGGUCCAGACUCCUACGGGAGGCAGCAGUAGGGAAUAUUGGACAAUGGGCGCAAGCCUGAUCCAGCCAUGCCGCGUGAGUGAAGAGGGCCCUCGGGUUGUAAAGCUCUUUUGUCCGGAAAGAAAAGCGCCGGGUUAAUACCCUGGUGUCCUGACGGUACCGGAAGAAUAAGCACCGGCUAACUUCGUG